RNAcentral lists this non-coding RNA (28 nucleotides) under Bombyx mori (domestic silkworm). Lineage: Eukaryota; Metazoa; Arthropoda; Insecta; Lepidoptera; Bombycidae. The record is from RNAcentral.
UAACUGAGUUAAUGGAGACCUGGCUAUC